This 59-nucleotide transfer RNA is filed under the name Loxodonta africana (African savanna elephant). It matches the Rfam family "tRNA", at positions 7 to 64 of the family's 71-position model. From Rfam's summary of the family: Transfer RNA (tRNA) molecules are approximately 80 nucleotides in length. The record is from Rfam by way of RNAcentral. Lineage: Eukaryota; Metazoa; Chordata; Mammalia; Proboscidea; Elephantidae.
UUAGCACAAUGGUUAAGCACUUGGCUGCUAACCAAAAGAUUGGUGGUUUGAACCCACCA